Cyprinus carpio carpio is the source of this 641-nucleotide long non-coding RNA. The record is from Ensembl. NCBI's taxonomy places the organism in Eukaryota, Metazoa, Chordata, Actinopteri, Cypriniformes, Cyprinidae.
CAUCUGUCCUAAUCCAGCCAAUAGACUGGGUCAUGUUGGGCCAUGGAGGCCAGAGGCAAAGUGAGGACACACGCCACAUCCAGCGUUGCAACUUUUCAUUAGUUUAACUUAAGAUAACUCACUUGAUAAGAAAUUCAAAUGAAGUCAUUAAAAGUCUCCUCUGGGUUCAGACCAACAAAGGUCUCAUUUGUUUCUUAUCCUCUCUUAACCCAUUCUAAGAACAGAACAAAUCCUUGUGACAAGAAUGCCAUUGCCCUGGAUCUGGAUCUGGAAAACCUGGAUGUUUGGACUCUCAUUCUGACAGCACCCAUUGGAUCCAUUGUGGCUGUCACACUCUCUGUCCUCCCUAUUGGACCGGCACUAUCUGGAGGAUUGCACAGAGCUGGAAAACAAUAAAUGAGUGUCUAUCAUCUUGAGAUGAUAAGCAUCUGGUGCUAGAGGUAAUAAUGAGAUGAUCUGGGGCCUUCAGGCACUUGGCAGAAUUUCACCCAAAAGUAUAUGAGCACACAGACGGCAGAUUCUGAUUUUGCACAAAGGGUUUAUAAAAACAGCACAUAUGCUAGAACCAGUAUCCAGCAUUAGACUUUGAAUGUAAACCCUUCUCCUCCCCAAAAUGACAAUUUUUUAUUAUUCAUGACCUC